GCAUCGAUGGUGGAACUGGUAUACACAGGAGACUUAAAAUCUCCCGCCGUAAGGAUUGAGGGUUCAAAUCCCUCUCGGUGCACCA
Molecule: transfer RNA, 85 nt
Filed under: Citrobacter phage CF1 ERZ-2017
Lineage: Duplodnaviria; Heunggongvirae; Uroviricota; Caudoviricetes; Pantevenvirales; Straboviridae
Description: tRNA-Leu
Rfam family: tRNA
About the family: Transfer RNA (tRNA) molecules are approximately 80 nucleotides in length. Their secondary structure includes four short double-helical elements and three loops (D, anti-codon, and T loops).
Source: RNAcentral